This is a non-coding RNA of Vicia faba (fava bean), 285 nucleotides long. The record is from the annotation of a GenBank genome assembly. NCBI's taxonomy places the organism in Eukaryota, Viridiplantae, Streptophyta, Magnoliopsida, Fabales, Fabaceae.
AUGAGGCUUCCUUUUAUAGAGGACAUUACUGCUAGGGUUUUUGCUUUGAGCAAAGAUGGUGCGUCGGGACCAGACGGAUUCAGGGCUAUUUUUUAUCAAACUUAUUGGGAUAUUAUCAAGGUGGACGUCUCAAACGCGGUUUUGGACUUUUUUCGCACUGGAUGGAUUUUGCCUGGAUACAGUUCUAAUUCCAUAGUUCUAAUUCCCAAAAUCAAAGGAGCAGCGGGGUUUUAUACAUGGCAGACAAAUUCACGAUUGUAUUGGCUUAGCUUCGGAGGCGGUUAA